Small nucleolar RNA from Fukomys damarensis (Damara mole-rat), 135 nucleotides. NCBI's taxonomy places the organism in Eukaryota, Metazoa, Chordata, Mammalia, Rodentia, Bathyergidae. The record is from Ensembl.
UGGCACACAUGUAGACCUUGCCCGGUGCUCUCUGUGGUCAGGCAAGGGGGACAGUGUGUGCAAGAGUGACGCGGGGCUCCUGCCCGCUCUGCCCAGCUGGGUCGUGGCUGGGUGGACCGCAGCGCUCCCACAUCC